Molecule: long non-coding RNA, 32143 nt
Filed under: Vitis vinifera (wine grape)
Lineage: Eukaryota; Viridiplantae; Streptophyta; Magnoliopsida; Vitales; Vitaceae
Description: long non-coding RNA (VVIN_LNC001392)
Source: RNAcentral
GGUGGUUUGCCAACUGGGGUUGGUGGCUUGUAUGAGUCUUCAGCAUUCUCAGCAGGAGGGUGACCAGGGUUGUGACCAUAAUGUGGUGGCUUCUCUCCCUUAGGUGGUUUGCCAACUGGGGUUGGUGGCUUGUGUUCUGGGAGUGGCUUCUCCCCCUUGGGAGGUUUUUCCAAUGGGGUUGGUUUGUGUUCAGGAGGUGGCUUCUCCACUGGAGGCUUGUGUUCAGGAGGUGGCUUCUCCACCGGAGGCUUGUGUUCAGGUGGUGGCUUCUCCACCGGAGGCUUAUGCUCUGGUGGUGGCUUCUCGAAUGGGGGAUGCUUAGGAUAAUCAGCAAGUGAGGGGGCGGUGAGAACCACCAGGCCAAGCAACACCACUAGCAAAUAUGUAGGAGACAUCUUUGGGUUUGGGCUCAGAUGGUGCAAAACUAGGAGAAUUGGCUAGCCUUUUAUAGCGGAUCGUACCCAAUAAUGAAAUGACACGUGUCAUUAUGACCCAUGUGUAAUGGGGUCGAUUUGGGUCCUACAGUGUUGAAAACUUCGACAUCCACUUUUGGCCUUUUGCUUUCUCUACAGCCGCCUUGCUUUUUCCCUCUUUCCUUUUGUUUUCCUCCUGCCCCAUUCUAUCAACUAAACACAAUUAUGUAGUUGUUUAAUUCUUAAAUGAGAUAUUAUCCGUCAAUCGUAUUAUAUUUUAUCAAGAGAGAACGGAGUGCAAUGUGGCUGUAAUUUUAUCGUUUAGUUUUAUCUCUUGGACCACUGCAUUUUUGUUAAGAGGUGCAAUAAUACACGUCUUUAUCUGCCAUUCAAUAUUUACAGUAAAGAGAGGGCACAAAACUCUUCACUUCGCACCAUAAUUAUUUUGUUUUCUGGACACCCCGGGGCCCUUUGGUUGGUUUGGGGGUCAGAAAGUGAACAUCAUAGGGGGUUUUUCCCUUAUGUGCAUUUGUAUCUGAUGGCUUUAACUCGCCUUGUUACUACAAAGAAACUGUCACAGAUAGGAACUUAUUCCAGGCUGAGUAUCUCCUCAUAGACCCUAUAAAAGAAGACAAGUCAUAAUGAACAUCUAACCUUUGUUCAAUUUGAUUCAAUGCCCCCAUUGUGUCCAUCUCACAAAUCUGAAUUAUUAUAUCCAUUGAAUACAUAAAUUAAUGAAGAAAAUAUGAAACCCAAGAUACAUCUCUGCACAACCUCAACCCUGGUUGCUAUGUUUCCCUUCUAUUCACAUGAUUUGAUGCUAAUUGCCAAACUUGCAACAAGCCCUGAGUUUGACACCUAGUAUCGAUGGGCGAAUUUAAAGUCUCCUCCAAACAUAUAUUCCACAGCUUGAAGCUCACAGAAGAUGUUACAGGCAGGGAAAAACCUUCAGAGUUCGCUACCAAAGAUAAUUAUUAAGGAGAUAUCACAAAGAGAAUUCCAAGGGGUCUGAAUCAAAGACAAAUUGGUCGUUCGUGGGGGUUCUUACUUUCUUUUGGGUAUAACUCACUGAGGGCACUGUCUUUGUUAUUUGCAUUUCACAUUUAGAGUUCUGUUCUGGAAACAUAUAAAAGGAGCAUCAUUUUGUUCUUGGGUAACCCAUAGUCGUGAGUGGGUCCAUUUGCAUGCUACUUAGUUGAAAAGUUGGACCAUUUGCUCCGACGCCUACCUCCCGGAUUCCAUGCUCGGAUAAAACAAGAAUAAAAAAAAUAUUUAUAAUUUACAAAUGGGGGAAAGAAAAAAAUGUCAACAACAAACCAGGAAAAAAGAGUAGUAAAAUUCAUGUCACAUGCUAGUGAGAGAAGGGGUUGUUACACUCACUCGAAGUUCUUUCCAAAAUAUCGCAUGGUAUUUUAUUUUAUGUGUCAGCGCAGUUGUGAAUGGAACGUGCAAAAGUCCAAAUUGGCGUUUUUCCUUUUCCCGUGUAGGAUGGCGACCUUUAAUAAAUAUUUAAAACAAAAAACGAAAAAAAGGAGGGAAAAGGGAUCAGAAAAGAUAAAACAAUGUGUACAAGAGCUCAAUUAGUUUGCAAAUUACUGUUUGGAUUUUGAUAGUAUUUUAUUUGUCCAUCUAUAUUUGAUGGAAAAGAGAAUUUAAGAUAUUUCUGAAACAAAAGCAUUAGUGUAAAACUAAAUUAAGGUAUAAUUAAGUUAGUUCAAUGCAUUAAUUUAAGAAACUUGAUCUAUCCAAAGUACAAAAUUAGAUGAAAUCCAUUUCAAUGGUUAAAAUGAUCAAAAUCAAACUUUUUCUAAGUAUUUUUUAAAAGCAUCAAUAUUAAAAGACAAUUUUAUAUUUAGUCGGAGUUUGGACAAAACCAAAAAGCACACAAAAUCCAAGCGACCAUCUCUAGCUUGGAUAGUCACUUGAUCCCACCUAGAGAUGUGCAUGAGUAAAAGGAUUUGAAAAUGGAAAUUGACUAAAUAUUUAGUUGAUCAAUUAAAUUUGCAAUGUCAUAUGCAAUCCUAAUAGCUAGUCAUCUAAUCAAUUAGGUAGUCAAUCAAGUGUUUGUAAUGACUAUUUUGUACAAAAAACCACAUGUAUAGUUAAAUAUAAUGCAUUUCAUUUAUAAAUCUUCUAAUUCUUGAAUAACGAUCCUAUCAUCCUUUGAAAAUUUUUAUUACACCUUUUUUACUUUUGUUCUAAAACUUACAUAUCACCCUUAAUUGUACCAUGAGAACCUAGCUAUUUUUUUUUUUUUUGUAAUUCAUCAAAGUUAGCUUUUGUAUUCAUUGUUGUAUUAUUUUUAGUAUAACUUAGAAAGCUAGUGUUUUCAAGUGAGUAAAAUUAACUUGUAAAUAUUGUAAAGAUUCAUUGAUAUGUAUCUUAAACUAAGUGUACAAAUUAAAACAUUUGCUAGUAGAUUUUCUCAAAAUUUAGAAUAGAGCUUGAGGCUAUUGAAAUAGGUGGGGUUACACCAAACCACAUCACAUCGUUGUUUGCACCUUUUUUCACUCUCUUUUACUUAGUUUCUCUAUAUUUGUUGUCUAGUAAUAUCCUAUAGGCUUGAUGGGUUAGGGAGCAUCCCUUUGUGAAAAAAUUUCAUUCAAUUCUUAGUUGUAUUACGCAUAUAUAAAAUGCCUCAUUGUUUUAAUGGUAUUCAGUCGUGGCAUCACAGAUAUGGGCAUCUAAAUUUUAAAAGUUUGAAACUUUUGUAAAGCAUGUUGAUAAAAUCCAUGAGAGUUGUGUACUUGGGAAGCAACAUCGAGGUGACUUUAUUUUUUUUUCCUUUUAUAAUGCCACACCUAAGUCCGGUUUCUAAAUGCUAAAGUGAAAGGGUAGGUAUGGACCAUUGAAAUGUGAUCACAACUUUUGGCCUUUUCCUUUCUCUGCAGCCAUGUUGUCUCUUUUUUCUUUUGCAUGAUUUUCUUACCAAAACAGAAUCAUAGACUUGUUUAGUCUCUAAGCUACUAUAUUAUAUCUCGGUGGACUUUUAAGAGUGCAACCGACAUAGAGCACAUGCAAGUGGGCAUAUGGGACAUGAAAUUUCUUCUUACAAAGAUUGCAUGAUUUUUAUAUUAGAGUUGUUCACGUGCAAUGUAUUUAGCUUGUUUUGCAGUUAAAUUAAUUGGAUAAGUAAACAUUGGCAUUUCUAAAUCGACUGUGAAGUGCUUCAUGUACGUGUAAAGUAUUAGAAAUUUCUUUCUUGGCAACUUGUUUUUUCCUUGCCAUCUACUGGUAGGUUUGACUAAAAUUAUAUUCCCUGUCAUGCUAAUUAAUUUUCAUGUGCAUGCUCAAAAGAAGAGUAUGACCUUAGUGCACCAAAAUCACUUUGAUUAAUUUGUGAUAGGUUUUUUUGCAUCAUUUAGAUAAUGUUUAGUUCUAAGAAAAAUUUAUAUAAAAAUGGUUUAUUUAUCUUACAUAUAUAUAUAUAUAUAUAUAUUUUUUUUUUUUUCAUUUUUUUUUCUUCUAUUUUAUUUAUUUAUUUUAUUUUCCUUAUGUUUUCCUCACAUUUUCCGGAACUAAACAUAGUCUUACGAAAUCAACAAUUGCCUUCAACUGAGUAGAUUCUGUUGUUUUAGCAAUGUUAGGCUGCUAACUUGUGGUGGUACGAACCAAAUGACCCAUGUUAAUCUUGGCUUGGUUUGAUUUGGCUCUAUCUCAGAGAGCUAAAGGAUCACGUCAACUCUGGUUUCUACUAUUCAGGUCCAUUCCCAGAUGAACUGGUUCAAAUUUGAGAAAAUGGUAACAGACCUUUAGUGAUGUUGGUUUGGAGCCAGUUGCCAAACCCGCCCUGAGCUUUACCACUAAUGUCAAGGGAGAAAGCCAUUUGAACAAAAACAAUAGCUUCAAGAGACUGAAUCGUGGAUGAAAUCUGAUCCACAUUUCUUCUCAUUUUGGGAAAAAAUGAGAACUUAACUACAAAGAUUCUACUGCCUCAUUCAUAGUGCUUUUCCUGAUCCAAGGUUGGUUCGUUUCCCAAAUUGUGAGGUGCACGUGCCACUCUCACGCUCAGGAGUGUAUCCACGUGGUGGACAUCAGAUGGUGGCUUAAUAUCUGGUGUCGGUGGCUUUACUUUACUAGGAGAGUAGUGUGUCUUCAUCUCAUUCACUGCCGGAGGGUGGCGUAAGCAGUGACGCUAAGGUGGGGCACAGUCAAUAUCAUUUGCAUUUGACCAUUAUAGUUUUCUCCCGGCUUGAAAGUAACCUUAUCGUGAUAAAGGAUUACUAGCACUAGUUCAGAUGACCGUCAUGUUAAUUCGGACCAUGUUUGUGUCACAUUAUCAGCAACCAUGUGUUUAUGGUUCAUGCUAUCUGCAACUAAACUUGAUAUAUAACCAGGUGAACUUCAAUCAAAAUUCUGGAAGUACUCUUGUGAUAGAUGGUGCCUGUCUGCAGAGUCCAUCAAUUGAAAAAUGGAGUGAGUGUAUCUAUAAGAGGGAAGGCUUGGCAAAUGUUCAGUUUUCUGGGAAUUCAACAAGGAUCUAAAAUAGAUUGUUUUCUUUGCCGACUUCAAUGGUUGAAAUUUGAGAAGAUUGUGUCCACAUAUCACAACUAUUACUGGUCCUUCUGUUGCAAUUUAUCCUGUAAGGCUCUAACAUGUCUUCCAAUUCCCACUUCCCUGUUACUCCAGGAAAGCUAUUUCUGUCAUUGUGAAGAAGAAAAGAGAAUGUACAUAUCGAUGCUUUUAAGUGACUGGAGCAUUCAUAUCAGGUGGUCUGCAGCCAUAUAUGCCACUUUGUGAAGGUUGGAACAGUCAAUCACUAGGCUAUAUAUUGGUGUGGCCCAGCCACUUCAAUCAAGGACAAGUCUUCAUACUUAAAGUCAAAUUCUGCCUUUAGUCUCAUUAUAAAUUGCUGUUUAAAUAUUAAGCAAACUUUUGUUUAAUGCGAUUAAGACAGUACUAACUCAAUACUUGUUCUAUUUUUGGAUGCAAAUGCUUGAUGGUUUCAUCAUUGGAUGGGAUAAAGGUGCAUUCAUGAUUAUGAAUACUUGUAGUUAUAUUUUCAUUCUCUUUUUUCUCAAUGAGACUUGUUGGCACAAUGUUGCUGUUCAGAAACCUACCUCUCCAUGGAAAAUAAGUUGCGAUUGAUAGUACUGGAUAUGUUCAAGAAAGCUAAAUAUAGAUAGCACAAAAUAUUAUCGAUAUAAAUAGCAUUAACAGCGUACGUAUGUCUCAAUGCUCAUCAGCUAUAAGCAUGGGACAAACACUUACUAUGAGCAACUUACGUCAAAAUUCCAGAAUAGGACAUAGAAGUGACAGAUCUAUAUAUAUAGAACACUGCAUAUGAGUCACAAGAAAGGAAAUUACGGGUGCAUAGCAGCUCUUAUUUUACAUACUACUACUCAUACUGAUCAAAGUCACUCAGUUGGGAUGGGUGGGAGUAGGAGGUUUGUGGGGUGGCUUGUGCGGAGGAGUUGGCAGCUUCUUUCCAGGACCUGGUUGCUUCUCUGCUGGAGUUGAAGGAGGCUUAAUCUUCCGAGGUGGCUUGUAUGAGUCUUCAGCAUUCUCAGCUGGAGGGUGACCAGGGUUGUGACCAUAAUGUGGUGGCUUCUCUCCCUUAGGUGGUUUGCCAACUGGGGUUGGUGGCUUGUAUGAGUCUUCAGCAUUCUCAGCAGGAGGGUGACCAGGGUUGUGACCAUAAUGUGGUGGCUUCUCUCCCUUAGGUGGUUUGCCAACUGGGGUUGGUGGCUUGUGUUCUGGGAGUGGCUUCUCCCCCUUGGGAGGUUUUUCCAAUGGGGUUGGUUUGUGUUCAGGAGGUGGCUUCUCCACUGGAGGCUUGUGUUCAGGAGGUGGCUUCUCCACCGGUGGCUUGUGUUCAGGAGGUGGCUUCUCCACCGGAGGCUUAUGCUCUGGUGGUGGCUUCUCCACCGGAGGCUUAUGCUCUGGUGGUGGCUUCUUGAAUGGGGGAUGCUGAGGGUAAUCAGCAAGUGAGGGGGCGGUGAGAACCACCAGGCCAAGCAACACCACUAGCAAAUAUGUAGGAGACAUCUUUGGGUUUGGGCUCAGAUGGUGCAAAACUAGGAGAAUUGGCUAGCCUUUUAUAGCGGAUCGUACUCAAUAAUGAAAUGACACGUGUCAUUAUGACCCAUGUGUAAUGGGGUCGAUUUGGGUCCUACAGUGUUGAAAACUUCGACAUCCAGUUUUGGCCUUUUGCUUUCUCUACAGCCGCCUUGCUUUUUCCCUCUUUCCUUUUGUUUUCCUCCUGCCCCAUUCUAUCAACUAAACACAAUUAUGUAGUUGUUUAAUUCUUAAAUGAGAUAUUAUCGGUCAAUCGUAUUAUAUUUUAUCAAGAGAGAACGGAGUGCAAUGCAGCUGUAAUUUUAUCGUUUACUUUUAUCUCUUGGACCACUGCAUUUUUGUUAAGAGGUGCAAUAAUACACGUCUUUAUCUGCCAUUCAAUGUUUACAGUAAAGAGAGGGCACAAAACUCUUCACUGCUCUGCAUGUGUCCCAAAAAUGCGAUUGGACAAAUUAUGAUUUGCAUGCUAAAAAGAGGCAAAUGAGGUUAAUUCGCACCAUAAUUAUUUGGUUUUCUGGACACCAUAAAAAGAUGUUAUACAGGCAGGGAAAAACCUUCAGAGUUAGCUACCAAAGAUAAUUAUCAAGCAGAUAUCACCAAGAGAAUUCCAUAGAGUCUGAAUCAAAGACAGAUUGCUCGCUCGUGGGGGUUCUUACUUUCUUUUGGGUAUAACUCACUGAGGUCACUGUCUUUUUUAUUUGCAUUUCACAGUUAGAGUUCUGCUCUGGAAGGUUUGUUCUGGAAACAUAUAAAAGGAGCAUCAUUUUGUUCUUGGGUAACCCAUAGUCGUGAGUGGGUCCAUUUGCAUGCUACUUAGUUGAAAAGUUGGACAAUUUGCUCCGACGCCUACCUCCUGGAUUCCAUGCUCGGUAAAACAAGAAUAAAAAAAAAUAUAUAAUUUACAAAUGGGGGAAAGAAAAAAUGUCGGAAAAAAUAGUAAAAUUCAUGUCACAUGCUAGUGAGAGAAGGGGUUGUUACACUCACUCGAAGUUCUUUUCAAAAUAUCGAAUGGUAUUUUACUUUAUGUGUCAGCGCAGUUGUGAAUGGAACGUGCAAAAGUCCAAAUUGGCGUUUUUAUUUUUCCCAUGUAGGAUGGUGACCUUUAAUAAAUAUUUAAAACAAAAGACGAAAAAAAAAAGGAGGGAAAAGGGAUCACAAAAGAUAAAAUAAUGUUUACAAAAGCUCAAUUAGUUUGCAAAUUACUGUUUGGAUUUUGAUAGUAUUUUAUUUGUCGUUCUAUAUUUGAUGUAAAAGAGAAUUUAAGAUAUUUCCGAAGCAAAAGCAUUAGUUUGCUCUGUGAUGUCCCACAUCGAAUAGGGGAGAAAGUUUCUGGCGCUAUAUAUGUAGAGGCUCCUCUUAACCAAGUAGAUGCGUUUUAAAACCAUGAGGGCCCCCUUAGGUCCAAAGCGGACAAUAUCUACAUGAUUGGGUGUAAGUCAUUACAAAUGGUAUCAGAGCCGAUCCCCGACCCCGGUGUGGGGGUUUGUUUGGCCCUGUAAGGGGUGUUUGUCUGUUUGACCCCACAAUCCCAUGGGACACAACGAGGACGUUGUGUCUGCAUGGGGGGGCGUUUGUGAUGUCCCACAUCGGAUAGGGGAGAAAGUUCCUAGUGCUAUAUAUGUAGAUGUUUCUCUUAACCAAGUAGAUGCAUUUUAAAAUUGUGAGGGCCUCUUUGGGCCCAAAGCGGACAAUAUCUACAUGGUUGAGUGUAAGUCAUUACAUGCUCCAUGUCAAUUUCAGCAUUUCUCAUAUGUUUCACACAUACACAGAAGAGCAUCGUUUUUUAAAGCAUGCAUUUAUGUUGGAUUAAUUUGGAUUUUGUGGGAACUGGGGCAAGGAUCACAUGGAAGAGAGGUUGACUUUUUUCAGUACUUCAAUGGUUGAAAUAUGUGAAGGCUUGAUUGAUACUAAAGCUUGAAAUUGCGACUCUGUCAUUUGUAAAAAAAUAUGACAGCUUCCAUGCUCUCGUUUGGUUGCAUUGUCCGGUCGAGAGGUGCAAAAAGCAUUCUCUCUCUUCUAAUAGUCUUUUCGUUUAAAUCAAGGGAUUUGCCUUCCCGGUCGAGGUCCAAUAGAGGGUAACGGUCACCUACUAAACAUUAAAUGCUCCAACAACUAGUGAACUGAUCGACCCCAGCUCGACUAGUUGAGGUUACUUUUUGGUUUUCUUGUCUCCCGAGGUUAGAAACCUAUAAAUAGAGAGCUUCACUUCAUUUAUGAGUAAGAGAACACCUAAAUUUAUUUGUUUACCUACUUGUUUUUGCCAUAAAAGCUCUCAUUUCUUUUCUUGGUGUAUUAAAUCUCCAUUUGCAUAUCCUUUAGUGCACCUUUGUGAUUCAUUCUAGCCUUGAGUUGUAUUUAAGCCUUUGUUGAGCUAGGUUGAGAGUUUCAUACUUGUUUAUUGAGUGUUAAAGCCUUCAAGUGAGUUAAAACUUGAAGAGAUUGUGUAAGAGCCCAUUGGAGUCGGAAUCCAAGUGUAAAGGUGAUUAAAAGCUUGGUUGAAGCUUCAAGUUAGUGGAACUCUCACUCGGUUAUGAGCUUGAGAAGAGUGGACAUAGACAAGGCAGUGUCGAACCACUAUAAAAUCUGAGUUUGAUUUCUCUAACCUUAUCUCUUUAUAUUUGCUUCUCUUGUGCUUAAAUUUUUUGUGUUUAAAAAGAAUUUUUAAAAACUCAAUUCACCCCCUUCUUGGGAGUUUUUCUCUUUUAAGAUCAGCUUUUAUUUUCUCAAUUGGUAUCAGAACUAUGCCUCUUGUUUAAGACUUAAUCGUCUAAGAGGAAAUGGCUAAUCCAUCAAGUUCAUCUCACAUUGAAAGUUUUGCAACCAAUAGACUUCUUUUUUUUUUUUUGCGGGAACUGAUUAUCCCUAUUGGAAAACUAAAAUGACUUGGUUUUUACAAUCAAUUGAUUUAGAUGUAUGAGAUGCCAUUGAAGAUGACCUAACUUUUCCUUCAAAACUAGUUGAUGGAGUCAUGGUUCCAAAACCUAAGCAAGAAUGGGAUGAGCGUGAUUGAAGAAAUUUUCAAUUAAAUGCUAAAGUCGUUUAUACUUUGCAAUGCUCUAUGGACAGAAAUGAAUAUAAUAGAAUAUGUCAAUGCAAAUCGGUUAAAGAAAUUUGGAGAUUGCUUGAAAUAACUCAUAAAGGAACAAAUCAAGUUAAAGAGUCAAAAAUCAAUUUACUUGUUCAUAGAUAUGAAUUGUUUUUUAUGAAAGAUAAUGAAACUAUUGUUAAGAUGAUCACUAGGUUCACCAACAUUGUUAAUGGUCUUAAAGCCUUGGGAAAGACCUACAAGGAAUCCGAAAACGUGAUGAAGAUCUUGAGGUCACUUCCAUCAAAGUGGCAUACCAAGGUCACCGCAAUUUAAGAAGCAAAAGACUUGAUCAAGCUACCUUUGGAGGAGUUCAUAGGGUCAUUGAUGACAUAUGAAAUCAAUUUGGCAAAGAAGUAACAAAAAGGUGAAGACAAAAAGAAGAAGAACAUAACUCUCAAAGCUACAACUAAGGAAGAAGAAGUUGAAGAAGAAAAACAAAUUGAAGAAGAUGAAGAUUUAGCCCUCAUCACAAGAAAGUUCAACAAAUUCAUGAGGGGUGAAAGGUUUAGAAGAAGAAGGUUCACUUCUAGAAGAGACUUUUCUAAAAAGGAAUCUUCAUCUAAUGGUGACAAAAAGAGAUGGGAAGAGAAAAGAGACUUGGUGUGUUUCAAGUGCAAGAAACCGGGACACAUUAAAUAUGAUUGUCCUCUCUACAAAAGUGAAGUCAAGAGGAAAAAGAAUAAGGCAAUGAUGGCCACUUAGAGUGAAAGUGAAGAUGAAUCAUCCGAAGAAGAAAAUGAGAAAGAAGUGGCAAACAUGUGUUUCAUGGCAAUAGAUGAACUUGAUGAGGUAAAAUCUAACCUUAGUGAUUAAGAUAUACAUGAUGCAUUUGAAGAAUUGUAUGAGGAUUUUUAAAAACUUAGUUUGAAAAAUAUUUCUCUUAAAAAGAAAGUUCAACAACUUGACAAAGAACUUAGAGAAGUAAAAGAAAAAUUUUCAAAUGUUAAAGUUUCUAAAACUCAUCUUGAAAAAGAAAAUGAGAUUCUAAGAAAGAAAAAUGAAUAGUUGAACUCCUCUCUUUCAAUCUUUUCUUCUAGACAAAAAUCUUUUGAAAUGAUUCUAACUAGCUAAAAAUGUGUUUUUGACAAACAAGGGUUAAGAUUUAAAUCUUCAAAAAAUCAAAAGUAUUUUAAAAACUAUUUUGUAAAGGAAUCCACAAGUGCAAGUCCUUCCACUACUUGCAACUUUUGUGGAAGAGAAUGGCACAUUAGUAGUACGCCCUUUAAGAAAUGGUUCUCAAAAGAAUUUAAAUGCAAAAACUAAAAAAGAUUUGGAUUGAGAAAUCCAAGGUCACUAACCCUCAAGGACCCAAAAAGAUAUAGGUACCUAAAUCAACUUGAGUUUUAUGUUGUAAGGUUCAAAGAAUGAUAAGUGGUUCUUAGAUAAUGGUUGCUCAAGACACAUGACCGGAGAUGAAUCCAAGUUUGCUUUUCUUAAAAAGAAAAAUGGAGGAUAUGUUACCUUUGGAGACAAUGCAAAAGAAAGGAUGAUUGGUCAAGGCAACAUUGGUAAUGGCACAUCCUCUCUCAUUGAAAGUGUUUUAUUAGUAGAUGGUUUCAAACAUAACCUUUUAAGCAUUAGUCAAUUUUGCGACAAAGGUUUUUAAGUGAUUUUUUAAGCAUCUCAUUGCAUCAUCAAGGAUAUUCAAAAUGAUAAAACCAUUUUCAUGGGCCAUAGAUGUGAUAAUGUUUAUGCUAUAAAUAUUUCAAAAUAUGAUGGCCAUGAUAGAUGUUUUUCAAGCAUGCAUGAUCAAAGUUGGUUGUGCCAUAGGAGAUUGAGACAUGCUAACAUAGACCUCAUUUCCCAACUCAACAAAGAUGAACUUGUUAGAGGCCUUCCCAAAAUAAUUUUUUAAAAAGAUAAAGUUUGUGAAGCUUGUCAAGUGGGAAAGUAAAUCAAAAACUCUUUUAAAAACAAAAACUUCAUUUCCACAUCUAGGCCACUUGAGUUGUUGCAUAUGGAUUUAUUUGGUCCCUCUAGGACACCAAGUCUUAGAGGAAAUUCUUAUGCAUAUGCUAUUGUGGACGACUUCUCUAGAUACACAUGAGUCUUGUUUUUUAGUCAAAAGAAUAAAGUUUUUUAUGAGUUUUCAAAGUUUUGCAAUAAGAUUCAAAAUGAAAAAGGUUUUUCAAUUACUUAUAUAAGAAGUGAUCAUGGGAGAGAAUUCGAAAAUAUUGAUUUUGAAGAGUAUUGCAAUGAGCAUGGAAUUGACCACAAUUUUUUGGCUCUUAGAACUCCUCAACAAAAUGGGGUAGUUGAAAGGAAAAAUAGAACUCUUCAAAAAAUGACAAGAACCAUACUAAAUGAAAACAACUUACCAAAAUAUUUUUAGGCCAAAACGGUUAACACUUCUUGUUAUGUUUUAAAUAGAGUAUUAUUGAGGCUCAUACUUAAGAAAACUCCCUAUGAGCUUUGGAAAAACAAAAAACCCAACAUUAGUUAUUCCAAAGUCUUUGGAUGCAAUAUUUUAUAAUAAACACCAAAGACAAUCUUGGAAAAUUUGAUGCAAAAUUGGAUGUUGGAAUUUUCCUUGGUUACUCAACUUCAAGUAAAGCUUUUCGAGUUUUAACAAAAGAACCAUGGUUGUAGAGGAGUCCAUCCAUGUUAUUUUUUAUGAAUCUCCAAGAAAGAGAGAGGAUUGAUGAUGAUUUAGGUUUGAAGACCUCUAUAGGAAGAUUGCAAAUCGAAGAUAGAAGACAACAAGAAGAAAAUGGAGAGAAUCCAAAGAAAGAAGGAUCACCAUUGGCACUACCCCCUCAUCAACAAGCGCAAGGUGAAUCAAGUCAAGAGCUUCCUAAAGAAUGGAAGUUUGUCAUCAAUCACCCACAAGAUCAAAUUAUAGGCAAUCCAUCUAGUGGGGUAAGAACUAGAUCCUCUCUUAGAAAUAUUUGCAAUAAUCUAGCUUUUAUCUCUCAAAUUGAGCCUAAAAAUAUAAAUGAUGUUUUAGAUGAUGAAAAUUGGAUAAUUGCAAUGCAAGAAGAGUUAAAUCCAUUUGAAAGAAGUGGAGUAUGGGAAUUAGUACCAAGACCUUCAAAUCAAAGUGUUAUUGGAACUAGAUGGAUCUUUAGAAAUAAAAUGGAUGAAAAUAGCAUAAUUGUUAGAAAUAAAGCAAGAUUGGUAGCCCAAGGUUUUAAUCAAGAAGAAAUGAUAGAUUAUGAAGAAACCUUUGCCCCCGUAGCUAGGUUGGAAGCCAUUAGGAUGCUACUUGCCUUUGCAUGUUUUAAAGACUUUGUUUUAUAUCAAAUGGAUGUGAAAAGUGCUUUUUUAAAUGGUUUUAUAAAUGAAGAAGUAUAUGUUGAACAACCACCCGGUUUUCAAAGUUUCAACUUUCCUAACCAUGUUUUUAAACUUAAAAAGACACUUUAUGGUUUGAAACAAGCACCUAGAUCAUGGUAUGAAAAAUUGAGUAAAUUUCUUUUGAAAAAAAUGUUUUAAAAUGGGAAAAAUUGACACAACUCUUUUUAUAAAAACCAAAGAAAAUGAUAUGCUCUUAGUUCAAAUAUAUAUUGAUGAUAUCAUUUUUGGUGCUACUAAUGUCUCUCUUUAUGAAGAAUUUUCUAAGUGCAUGCAUAGUGAGUUUGAAAUGAGCAUGAUAGGAGAACUCAACUUCUUCCUUGGACUUCAAAUCAAGCAACUAAAGGAAUGAACCUUCAUCAAUCAAGCAAAGUAUAUAAGAGAUCUUCUCAAAAGGUUCAACAUGGAAGAAGCCAAAACAAUGAAGACUCUAAUGAGCUCAUCCAUUAAGCUUGAUAAGGAUGAGAAAGGUAAAUCCAUUGACUCUAUUAUGUAUAGAGGCAUGAUAGGUUCUUUGCUCUAUUUGACCACUAGUAGACCUUACAUUAUGUAUAGUGUGUGUUUGUGUACUAGAUUUCAAUCUUGUCUUAAAAAAUCUCACUUAAGUGUCGUGAAAAGAAUCCUCAAAUAUUUGAAAGGGACAAUGGACAUAGGCUUAUGGUAUCCUAAGAGUGAUAACUUUGAAUUAAUUGGUUUUUUGGAUGCUGAUUUUGUCAGUUGUAGGGUUGAAAAAUAAAACACUAGUGGCACUUUUCAUUUCUUAAGACACUUACUUGUCUCAUGGCAUAAUAAGAAGCAAAAUUUGGUAGCUUUGUCAACAGCAGAAGCUAAAUACAUAGCAACUGGUUUAUGUUGUGCACAAAUCCUUUGGAUGAAAUAAACACUUAGUGAUUUUGAUUUAUCUUUUGAGCAUAUUCCUAUUAAAUGUGAUAAUAGUAGUGCCAUAAGUAUAUCAAAAAAUCUCGUGCAACACUCUAGGACUAAGCAUAUAGAGAUUAGACAUAAUUUUCUUAGAUAUCAUACACAAAAGGAUGAUAUAACACUUGAAUUUGUAAGCAUAAAAGACCAACUUGCCGAUAUCUUUACAAAACCUCUAAGAACAUUUUGUUGAUAUUAGAGGACAAUUAGGAGUGAUUUCUUUAUGAUCUAAUGUGAUGAAUUCUUGAUGAAUAUACUUUUUGAUUGCAUGAAUUUCAUGUCAUAUAUGCAUCAUAUAGAAAUAUACUUAGAUAAUGGUCAAAUUUCGACCAAAAAUCAAAAUUCCCAUGGCAUUAGGCAUAAAAAUUUUGGAAUUUCAACUGAAAAUGGUAGGAGGAGGAUCACAAAAUGAGAAAGUAUGCAAAAAUUGAAAAAUCAAAACGUUGACCAAGCGGUCAAUCGGACUAGACCGAUCGACUAGUUUGUCGAGAUUUAGGAUUUUUAAGAGACUCCAACGCUUCAAUUUUUGCACCGUUCUCCUCUAUUUCUUCACGGUUUCUCUGAUUUUGUCUUUUAGAGACUAAUUUGAGUGCGUUUUGGAUCAAUUGAAGCAUUUUGGAUUGGAUUUUAGGAAGAUUGAAAGUUAAGGUUUCGGAUUUGGGUCGCCUUCUCUUCCUCUCGCGUGUCACAAUCAGCUUUAGCAUUGUUCUCUUUCCAUUUUCACACACCUAGGGUUUCAGUUGUGAGCAUCUCUCUCUCUUUACCAACCACUACUCCCUUGCUUCUUCCAUAUGGCUCCUAGGCGAGAGUCCGCUACUUCUAGGGCACAAGGCAAGCACCCAACUGAGUCGUCUCAGUCAAAGGCACGUCGAAAAGUGAGAUUUGACAUUGCCUUGUUCAGUUCCAUGGAGGACUACCAACUAUACAAGCAACACUUUGCUUAGAGACGAGUAGUUCCCAAGAGAAAUAUUAAUUUUCCUCAACUUCAGCAUUUCGAAUUUAAGGGUCUAUUUACUAGGAUGGUUGGUUGUCUAUUGUCACAAUUUCGGAGCCGGUUUUCCUGACCUUAGUGCGAGUUUUUUACUCGAGGGCGACUUAUGGCAUGGGUGGCAUGAUCAUUUCUACUGUUGGAGGAGUUGAGAUCUGUCUGGACCCAGAGAGCAUCUGCCAUAUUUUCGAUAUUGCUCUGGUUGGACUCAAAGUAUACAAGUCCAAAAUGUGGCCCAUUGUGCCAGGAUUUGAGCUUAGAGAGGUCAUUCAGAGGAUUUGUGAACUUCCAGACGCCCAGGAGAUGGGCAAACCAUUGCCACACAGUUUGACGGUCAUCAACAGGGUGCUACACCAUAUAUUGUGCUCUAUCUUUCUACCACGAAGUGGACAUUGAGAUGAGGUCUCUUAUUAUGAGGCAUUCCUUAUUGACUCCAUUCUAACGGAGAGACGAAUUCAUCUACUAUGUCAUCAUUCACUAAGCCUCCUCACAGUGACAUACCACCUCAUCAGGCACCUCUUGCUCCUGACCAUGCUCCAUUGAUGGAUUUAUUUACUCAUAUUAGCUCUCUAGGCACUCGCAUGAAGGAGUUUGUUGUAGUUAGUGAUACAUGGUUCUACUCCAUAGAGGAUCGCAUGGAUCAGUAUCAGACUGGCUUCACGUCACAGUUUGAGUAUCUCCAAUAGAGGAUUGAGCAUAUUGAGGAUCACUUGAGCAUGAGAAGAUGAUGGCUUUUCUAUGCUCUGUGUUUCCACCUCCACCUCGUCAACCUUGAUUUCUUAGAGACCCAUUGUUUUCAUUUUGUAAUGUUGCCAAAAGGGGGAGAUAUUUAGGAUCUAGGACUCUAUAGGAGACUUACAUGCAUAUCAUUUUCAUAUCAUUGUUUGGAUCGUACAUAUUGGAUAGUGAUACUUUUUACUUAUAUAUGAUAUGCCUAUAUGUUUCAUGUCUUACAUUGUUUCUUAUUGCAAAUUAUCUCUAACAUGUCUUGAUUAUCUUUUUUUUAACUUCAUAAAUUUUGAUUGUUAACCCAUGAUUGGUUUGAGGGGAAGAUUCUUCUUCUCCUAGAUAACCAAGGUUUGUCAUCAUAAAAAAAUUGGAGAUUGUUAGCCCAAGGGUUCUCCUAAUCAUGUUUUGAUGAUAACAAACCAUGCUUAAGUUACUAAUUGGUUUGAAUUAUAAAGAAUUUCAAGUGUUAAUUUGAAAAUUCAUCAAAGAACCUAAUGGAUGCAAGAUCAAGAUUUUUGGAAGACCUUUAAUCAUAAGAAACAUAUGUAAGAUGAAUGCAUGGGUGCACUUAAGAUUUGCAUAUCAUUUCAUGCAUAUUUGGAAAACACGGUUUAUGCUUUAAAGUUACAUUUCCAUCAAAAUUUGAGAUCCAUCAAAUGAACCUUAGGAAAAAUGUUUUAAAAUUGGCAUAUAAUUUUACCUAAAGACCUUGCCUAAGUGUUAGAAGCAAAAGGACAAAAAAAAUAUAGGUUUUCUGGUCAAAAAUGGUGAACCAGUCAAGGCAUUGUCUAAAUCAGCUCAAUCGGCCAAGGUACCGGUCGAUCGGUUUCCCUUUCCCUGUCGAGAUCUAGUCAAGAGGUACAAAAAUCACAAUCUCUGUCUCUUUCUCUCUUUGUCUAUCUUCCAGUAGUCUUUCCUUCCCGGUCGAGGGAUUUGCCUUCCCGAUUGAGGUCCGAUUGAGAGUAAUAGUCACUUGCCAAAUAUUAAAUGCUCCAACAGUUAGUGAACUGGUCGACCCCCACCUUGCCCAGUUGAGGUUACUUUUUGGUUUUCUUGGCUCCCGAUGUUAGAAACCUAUAAAUAGAGAGUUCCACUUCAUUUAUGAGCAAGAGAACACUUGCAUUUAUUUGUUUACCUACUUGUUCUUGCCUUAAAAGCUCUCAUUUCUUUUCUUGGUGCAUUAAAUCUCCAUUUUGAUAUCCUUUAGUGCACCUUUGUGAUUCAUCUUAGCCUUGAGUUGUAUUUGAGCCCUUUUUUUAGCUAGGUUGAGAGUUUCAUACUUGUUAAUUGAGUGUUAAAGCCUUCAAGUGAGUUGAAACUUGUAGAGAUUAUGUGAGAGUCGAUUGGAGCCGAAAUCCAAGUGUAAAGGUGAUUAGAAGCUUGGUUGAAGCUUCAAGUUAGUGGAAUCCUCACUCAAUUAGGAGCUUGAGGAGAGUGGACGUAGCCAAGGAAGUGUCGAACCACUAUAAAAUUUGAGUUUGAUUUCUCUAACAUUGUCUCUUUAUAUUUGUUUAUCUUGUGCUUAAAUUUAUUGUGUUUAAAAAGAAUUUUUAAAUACCCAAUUCACCCCCCUCUUGGGUGUUUUUCUCUUUUAAAAUUAGCCUUUAUUUUCUCACAAACUAUUGUAGUAUAGUGGUUUUUAGGUGUCAUCCAUUAGGAUGAAUUGUUCUCGGUAAUUAAGGCGUGAAUGAGAGGAGAAUUAAUGAUUGUGAUUAAGUAAAAUUGAUUUGAAAAUUCAUGGUGAAAAAUCAAUUUAACAAUGGUUUCUAAUUGAGAAAAACAAUGAAAUGUGAAAUAAAAUAAAAUUAAUAGGAAAUGAAAUUCUCGAAGUUAGAAUUUUCUAAAAAACAAAUUCCAUGGUGAAUGGAUGUUGAGAUCUAAUUUUCAUCAAGUUAGAUUGAAAACCGAAAUUUUCAUAUAAACUGAUUUUUUAUUUAGUUUUAGGUCUAGAUUUAAUUUCCCUUAAAAUUAGGUUAUUUAAUCCAAGAAAUCAAUUCAAAUCAUAUAUUCAAUUCAUCUUAAAUUAUCUUCCAAUUAUUCACACAAUGCAACUAUUCAAUCUCAUCAAAUCUAGCUUUUAAGAAUUUAAUGAAUCUACCUAGUUUGCAUUGUAAUAGUCAUCCAUGACAAUUUGAAGAGAAAAAUAAUUCAAUUAAUCAAUCACUUGGAUCAAAUUACCUUUGCAAUUAAAGUUCAUUUCUCUAAUUCACCACAGAUUUUGUCUCUAGAUCCUCCUUUCUCAAAGAAAAAUGAGAUUUAGCCACACAUGAUUGGAGAUUUGGUCUCAUAAGGCAUGUUUAGCUAGUGAUAAAAUGAGAGAAAAUAAAGAAAAAUAGAGAAUUCGAUUAAGAAAGAAAAUCUAAAAAAUUCUACAAUUAGAAAUGUCCAAAAAGCUUUUUCAUGAGAAAAUCAAGUUUCUAUUUAUAGGCCAAGGUCAAGUGGACACUUGACAUCAUCUAAGAGGUCUUCCGGAAGCUUCUUCAUCAAGAAAUCUGGAGUUUAAUAAUAAAAUGGUCAUUUCACAAGAGCUCAAACAAUUUCGCAUGAUUAUGUGAAAUAAAAAAUGCAACAACAGCAAUUUACAUCUUCUUGGAGCAUUUCGCAUGACUGUGUGAAAUUUUCACAUGAUCAUGUGGAAUCGACUUGACAACUCUCAUUUAGCCUACAACAUAAUUCCACCUUUUGGUCCAUUUUUCAUAGUCAUGCGAAAUGGAAAUAUUUGAUUUUUAAGUUUUCUUUUGUCAUUUCUUUCAUUUCCUUCUCUUGAUUCCACUUCAACUACCUCCGAAUCCUGGUCCAAACCAAUUGCAUUACUUCUUUCAUUAUGCAUUUGGAUCAUCAUCAACAUUAUUUGUUCUCUUCAAUUUGAUUCAUCUCUUUUGUCACCAAUUUAUCAAAAUCAUACCUUGAAAUGACUCCAAAACUUCAUAAAACUUGUUAGUAACUCUUGCAAGGGCAACAACAUAUUAAUUAAGUGUUUUAGGCAUAGUUACUACUCAAAAGAUGCGAAACUCAUGAUAAUUAUUAUAUAAAAUAUGCUCUUUUUGAGUAGUAAUCAACUUUCUUGCAUAAGCAGACCUUUUAGGGUGGAGUACUAAAGACCAAUAUGCUUGUCCUUGUUGUAAUAAAGAAACUUGCUCUUAUUGAUUGCACCAUGGGAGAAAAUUUUGCUACAUGAGUUAUCAUCAAUUUCUUCCCACCAAUCAUAGAUUUAGACGUGACAAGAGGCCUCUUAAUGGCAAGGAGGAACUGACACUCACACUUAUACAAUUAUCGGGCAUUGAUGUGUUGCAACAAUUAGAAUAACUUACACCAAUUAUGUUGGGGAAGUCACAAAAGGCAAACAUGAAAACUAAAAGGAAAAAAGAAAAAUGUUACAUAUCACCACAACUGGAAAGAAAAAAGUAUUUACUUUCAUUUGCCAUAUUGGAAAGCACUUAUUUUACAUCAUAAUAAUUUAGACAUAAUGCAUAUUGAGAAAAAUGUGUGACAAUAUAAUUGAGACAUUGUUCAGUAUUGACGAAGAAACAAGGACAACCUAAAUAGUCAUCUCGAUUUACAAGCUCUAACUAUUAGAAAUGAGAUUCACCCAAUAGAAAGCAGGACCAAAUUUAUUUUGCUUGCAACAUGCUACUCACUCACCCCAAAUGAGAUUAAGGAAUUUUGCAAGUUUUUGAAAUCAAUAAAGGUCCCCAAUGGCUAUUCUUUCAAUAUCUCUCGUUAUGUGCAACUCAAUGAAAGGAAGAUAUAUGAGCUCAAAUUGUAUGAUUGUCAUGUCCUAAUGCAACAACUUCUCUCACUUGUAGUUCGUGGAGUUCUACAUAAGAAUGUUUGUGGAGUUAUCAUAGAAUUGCGUAAUUUUUUCAAGCAAUUGUGCUCAAAGGUGUUAGAAACAAAUCACUUACACCAACUUGAGAACAAUAUUAUUGUCAUACUAUGUAAAAUGGAGCAAAUAUUUCUUCCAUCAUUCUUUGAUAUUAUGGUGCAUUUACUUGUGCAUCUAGUAAGGCAAAGGUUGCAAGACUUGUGCAAUAUUGUUGGAUGUACCUAAUUGAACGAUAUUGUUAUAAUUUCAUAUGAAUCAUUUAAUUUUAUUUUAUAUUAUGUUCAGUUCAUUAACAUGUACAUUGGUCUACAUAUGGAUGAUGAUAGGUACCUAAGCACUUUAAAGUCAUAUGUGCGUAAUAGAACUUUUCUAGAAGGUUCUAUUGUAGAAAGGUACCUUGCAAAAGAAUGUACAACAUUUUAUUCUAGGUACUUGAAUGAUGUGGAAAUAAAGUAUAAUCACAAUGAUAGAAACUUUGUUGGUUUCAACACUAGAGGAGAUGAAAGGGGUUAUCUUUAAACAUAUUGGACAUGCAUUGGGAAAGCCCAUAUUUCAUUAACUUAGUUCAAAAGAGUGGUCACAAGCACAUUUAUAUGUGUUGACAAAUUGCGAAGAUGUCAUACCAUUCAUUGAGUAAAAAAUUUAUUUGAAUUUUAAUUAAAGCUCUAGUUUAUAUCCUUAAUCAAUGUUUUUUAAAUUCACAAGGAGCACAAGCAAACCAUCAAGGCUAGACCACAUAUACGUGUUUGAGACGUAGAUUUAAUUCAUAACAAGGAAUUUAUCAAGUGGUUUGAAAGACAUGUAAGUAUAUUCCUUAUUAUAAGGGAUUUAUUUCACAUUAUGUUUAUAUUGAAUCCAAACCUAUUAUUGAAUUGUAGGUUGAACAAUUACAUAAUGAAGGUCAUAUAUCUGAACACCUUCUCACAUUAUCAUGUGUUCCAAAUUCAUUAGUUACAUGCUUCAAAUGAUAUAUUGUCAAUGGAUUUAGAUCCCACAUUAAAGAACGUGAUAAAAAAGUUUUUAAAAAAAGACUCAGAAUAAUGGAAUUGUUGUAGUUGCAAAAACGUCAAGCUUUACAAGUGCAUGUGAUAUGAGUCCAAUUAUUAGUGAUGCUCUCUACUAUGGUGUUCUAACUAAAGUUGUUGAGUUACAUUAUCUUGGUGAAAAUAAGGUUGUUUUAUUCGAGUUUGAUUGGUGGGAUGUUACAAAUAUUGGAAAAUUGAUAAAAGAUGAUGAGUACAAUUACACAUUUGUUAACUUUGCAUGAAUUCUAACCACGAACGAACGAUUUGUACUUGCAUCUCCAGCAAAGUAAGUGUUCUAUGUGAAGAAUGCGAAUGAAUCAGAUUGGCAUACUAUCAUGGAGAUGCAACCUCAAGACCUCUAUAAGAUGAACGGGAUAGGAUCCAAUGGUGAUUUUGAACCAUUUCAACAAAGUGAACUACAUGAUCACUAAUAUAUCUCAGAUUUAGUUGAUGAAGAUAUAAUCAAGUGGAACAAAAGUGAUGUUUUAGGACUAAUCAUCCUAAAAAAUAUUGUAGUUUCUUAAAAAAAAAAUGAAAAUGAAGAAGAUAAUUGAACCUUUGUCAUACUUUAAAAAGCAACUAUGCAUUGUUCAUUUUGUAUGUUUUGGUUUUCUUCAUUUAAUUUCCUGAUUUUUGUGAUUCAAUGUCAUAUUAUUGAUCUUGAAAUAUUUUUCUAAUUUUUCAUUCUACGAUGGUUUCAACAAGGAUGACAUCAAGUCAAAAAAGGAAAUGUGGUCCCACACACAAUAUUGCAUUACAGGGAUUAAGGUCAGGGAAGAAGGUAAAAGUUGCAUUUAAUGAGUACAAUCAAUUGGUUAAACAGAAAAAUGGAAAACACUUAUCGAGCUACAUAGGGACACUUGUAUCUAACCAACACAAUGUACCUCUCCAAGCUAGUGAUUGGAAAAAUGUUCCAAAUGAUGCAAAAGAGAAAGUAUGGCCUUUGUUUUGGUAUGUUGUAUUUCUCACUAUAUGAUGUCAUUUCACUGUUAUUCUAUUUUGUGACUAACGUUUGAAUCAUAUGUAAGAAAAAUUUGAAGUAGAUAAAGACUGAAAAGAUUACAUGUUGGGUAUAGCCUCAAAUAAAUAUAGAAGCUAUAAAAAUAUGAUGAAUGCAAAAUACUAUGACCCUUGGCAUAAGGAUGCAUGAGGAGAGGUUAAUACAUAAAUCACCAUUUGUCUCUGAUGUUGAUUGGAAGUGGCUUGUCUCUGAUGCAUAAACCAAAUCCCCCACUGAAUGUUUGAUAUUUGAUAGCAGGAAAAACACACCCGCAGCUAUACACCUCCAUCAUUCAGAUAAUUAUAGUGGGGGAGAUGAUUCAUGGUUGCCCUUAUACCCUUUAUUUGCACCAUCUAUUGAGAUUCUUUAUCAUGGCCAGGUUUUACUGCAGCAAUAAGAUAUGGUGGCAACAAUUUUAUCUAUAGGUGCGGUUCCAGACCGCCUCCAUAGGUGCGGUUCCUGACUGCCUCCAUAGGUGCCUCUUCUUGUAAUGUUUGUUCUGGGAAUUACACUUGAAAGCCUUAUCGUGAUAAGGGAUUACAAACACUAGUUCAGAGGACAGCCAUGUUAAACUUCCACUAUGUUUGUGUCACAUUAUCAGCAGCCUAGUGUUUAUUGGUCAUGCUAUCUGCAACUAAUAUAACCCGGUGAACUUCAAUCUAAAUUCUGAAAGUACUCAUGUGACAGAUGGUGCCUUUCAGCAGAUAUCAUCAAUUUAAAAGUAGUGUGUGUGCCUAUAGGUGGGAAGGCCUUGGCAAAUGUUCAGUAUUCCGGUAAUUCAAGAAGGAUAUAUCUAAAAUAGAUUUUCUUCUUGCCCAUUUCAAUAGUUAAAAUUUGAGAAGAUUGUGUCCACAUCACACAAAUAUUAUUGGUCCUUCUGUUGCAAUUUACCUCUGAACAUGUCUUCCAAUUCCCACGGUCCUGUUACUCCAGGAAAACUAUUUCGGUCAUAUUGAAAAAAAAAAUAUUAAAGAAGGUACACAUGCUUUUAAGUGGACUGGGGCAUUCAUAUCAGGUGGUCUGUAUCCACAUAUGCCACUUCGUGAAAGGUGGAACAGCCUAAUCACUAGGCUAUUUAGUGUGGCCCAGCCACGUUAAUCAAGCACAAGUCUUCAUACUUAAAGUCAAAUGGUGUCUUUAGUCUCAUUACACAUCGCUAUUUGAAGAUUAACUCAUCACUAGUGUAAUGCGAUUAAGACAGUCCUAACUCAAUAUUUGUUCUAGUUUUGGAUGCAAAUGCUUGCUGGUUUCAUCAUUGGAUGGGAUAAAGGUGCAAUCAGGACUAUGAAUACGUGCAGUAAUACUUCAUUCUCUUUUUUCUCAAUGAGACUUCUUGGCACAAUUUUGCUGCUCAGCAACCUACCUUUCCAUGGAAAAUCAGUUGUGACUGAUAGUAAUGGAUAUAUUCUAGAAAGCUAAACAUAGAUAGCAUUCAAUAUUAUCGAUAUAACAUUAACAGCGUAUGUCUCAAUGCUCAUCAGCUACAAGCAAUGGACAAACACUUUGAGUAACUCACAGCAGUCAAAAUUCCUAAACAGGACAGACGUGACAGAUCUAUAUAUAGAACACUGCAUAUGAGUCACAGGAAAAGAUAAUACGGGUACAUAGAAGCUCUUAUUUUACAUAUUACUCAUACUGAUCAAAGUCGCUCAGUUGGGAUGGAUGGGAGAAGGAGGUUUGAGGGGUGGCUUGUGCGGGGAAGUUGGCAGCUUCUUUCCGGGAGCUGGUUGCUUCUUUGCUGGAGUUGAAGGAGGCUUAAUCUUCCGAGGUGGCUUGUAUGAGUCUUCAGCAUUCUCAGCAGGAGGGUGACCAGGGUUGUGACCAUAAUGUGGUGGCUUCUCUCCCUUAGGUGGUUUGCCAACUGGGGUUGGUGGCUUGUUUUCUGGGAGUGGCUUCUCUCCCUUGGGUGGUUUGCCAACUGGGGUUGGUGGCUUGUGUUCUGGGAGUGGCUUCUCCCCCUUGGGAGGUUUUUCGAAUGGGGUGGGUUUGUGUCCUGGUGGUGGCUUCUCUCCCUUGGGAGGUUUACCAAUUGGGGUCGGUGGCUUGUGUUCUGGGAGGGGCUUCUCUCCCUGGGGAGGUUUAGUGGGUGGCUUGUGUUCUGGAGGUGGCUUCUCCACCGGAGGCUUAUGCUCUGGUGGUGGCUUCUCGAAGGGGGGAUGCUCAGGGUAAUCACCAAGUGAGGGGGUGGUGAGAACCACCAUGCCAAGCAACAACACUAGCAAGUAUGUAGUAGACAUCUUUGGGUUUGGACUCAGACAGUGCAAAACUACGAGAAAUCGCUAGCCCUUUAUAGCGGCUCGGACCUAAUACUGACAUAAUAUAAAAUAAAUAUUAUAUUUUAUCAAGAGAGAACAGAGUGUAAUUUUAUCAUUAAUACCGAUCGAGGCCAAAGAAAGAAGACCCAUAAUCCAUUUCCCACAAGCAUACACAAUGCAGCUGUAAUUUUAUCAUUUACUUUUAUCCCUUGGACCACUGCAUUUUUGUUGAGAGACACAAUAACACAUUUUUAUCUGUCAUUCAACAUUUACAGUAAAGAGAGGGCACAAAACGCAAUUAGAUAAAUUAUGUUUUGCCUGCUAAAAAGAGGCAAAUAACUUUAUUUGCAACAUAAUUAUUUUGGUUUCUAGUGACCCCGGGGCCUUUCGGUUGGUUUGGGAUCGGAAAAUGAACAUCAUAGGGGGGGUUGUGCCCUUAUGGGCAUAUAUAUCUGAUAGCUUCAACUGGCCUUGUUCCUAGAAAGAAAUUGCCAAAGAUAUAAACUUAUUCCAGGCUGAAAGUAGAUGAGAGUCAUAAUGAACAUCAACCUUUGUUCAGUUUGAUUCAAUGCCCCCAUAGUGUUCAUUUCACAGAUCUGAAUGAUUAUAUCCGUUGAAUACAUAAAUUAAUGAAGACAAAUAUGAAACCCAAGAUACAUCUCUGCAUAACAACCCCAACCCUGGUUGCUAUGUUUCCCUUCUUCUAUUCACAUGAGGAUACUGGUUAUAAUUGUCAAACUUGCAACAAGCCCUUUGACACCUAACGUCAAUGGACGAAUUAAAAGUCUCCUUCAAACGUCUAUUUCACAGCAUGAAGCUUAUAAAGGAUGCUGACAACCUUCAGAGUUAGCGACAAAAGAUAAUUAUCAAGGAGAGAUAGUUCCAUGAGAAUUCCAAGGAGUCUGAAUCAAAGACAAAUUGCUCACUCAAGGGUUCUUAUUUUCUUUUAGGUACAAAUCUCUUGAGUGUUGUUAAAGAAACACGUCACUGUCAUUUUGAUUUGCAUUUAACAUUUCACUUUUGUUCUGGAAGGUUUGUUCCGGAAACAUAUCAAAUGAGCAUCAUUUUCUUCUUCGGUGACACAUGGUCGCGAGUACGUGGGUCCAUUUUCAUGCCACUUAGUUGAAAAGUUGGAAAGAAAAAACAUGCCAACAAGAAGAUAGUGAGAGAAGGGGCACUUCAAGCCUUUAACAUGAACAAACAGUAAAUAAAAGAUGUUUCUCCACUCAUAAAAGUGUGUUAGAUAGCAAUAUAACGAAUCACAUCCAAAAUCUUUACUAGGCUCAAACAUAAAGAAGACUCAUUUUUAAGAAAAGAUAAAAAUGGCAUUGUCUGAUAGUAUCCAAUACACGAGAUGGCACUUAAUUUGUACAAGAUCUGUCAAUGCUGACGCACAUUUUCUGAUUAAAAAAAAACUGAUCAGUCAAAAGCAAUGAAGAGAAGUGAUGACAAUGAAUGAUGCUUCCAAUAUUUUCACCCCUUAUAGUGUUCUUCAUGAUUCAGAUAUAUAAUUGGAAAUAGAACAACCCUAUGCCAUACAUUCGUCUAAGUAUGGUGUCUAAUUUUUUGUGUCAGCGGUUGCGAAUGGAGCGUGCAAAAGUCCAAAUUGGCGUCUCUCCAUUUCCACAUAGGAAGGUGACCUUUAUUGACAAAUACCCAAUAUUUGUAGACAUUCCUUAAAUAUCAUAACUUCUUGUUGAUUUGAAAAUCAUUUUUCAACUACCAUGUUUUAAUAAAUAUUUUUUAAAAUGUAUUUUUAUCAAAGUCCACCAUGAUGGAUAAUAUUCACCAUGCAAUAAUUAAUAAAGUACAAACUAAGCGAAAUGAAAAGCAUUUUCUUUGCUUUGAGUUGAUUUUGGUUGCAUUGAGUUGAUUUUGGUUUCAUGGUUUUUUCAACUCUUAUUUUGAUUGGAAGAUGUCAAGAAAAGAAAACAUAAAGAAAAAUUAAAAGGGAAAAAAGAAGAAAAAUAAAAAAAAAUAGAUUUAAAAGUUAAUAAAUUAUUUUUUAUAUUUAUUUUAAUUCAUUUCACUUAUUUUUCUUUUACUAUAUAAAAUUUAAAUAAUUUAAAUUUUAUAAUUAAUUUAAUUACAUUUCAUUUUCUUCUAUAUUUAAAUAUUGGAAAAAUAUUUUACUUAAUAUUUUUUUCUUUAAUUUCUUUGGCAUUUUGGGAACCAAACUUAGCCUUUAAAAUAAAAAACAAAAAAAAAAUGAAAAUAAGGAGGGAAAAGUGAGAAAAGAUAAAAACAAUAUGUAAAGGAUUUGAAAAGUAUUAGUUUGUAAUUACUAUUUGGAUUUCAAUAGUAUUUUAUUUGUCUUUCUAUAUUUCAUGUAAGAGAGAAUUUAAGAUAUUCCCCAAGGCAAAGCAUUAGUUACCUGCAAUCAGUGGUGAUAAGGCUCCAAGCCAAUUUUGGGCCCCAUAUCUUAAGACAGUACAAUUUCCAUUUCAACAUUUCUGAUUUCUCAGAUGUUUCACAUACCACAGAAGAACAUUGUUUGUGAAAAUAUGCAUUUAUGUUGGAUUUUGUAUGCUGUGGGGACUGGGGCAAGGAUCAUAUGGAAGAGUGGUUGACUUUUUCUGUACUUUAACGGUUGAAAUAGGAUAAGCACGGGCAUUUGUGAGGCUUAAUUGAUUUUGAAGCCUGAAAUUGCGUUUCUGUCAUUUUGUCAAAAAAAUGGCAGAUUCCAUACUCAUAUGUUUGGCCUGUGGCCAUGUACAGAUGCCAUUUAGUGACCAGUUUGUAACUGUCAAUCGUUGCGUUUUGACUCUGCCUCAACAACAUCUGCCAUUGACGGGUUUUCAUACUUGCAAAUCAAAUAGUCUUUCGUCCCAUCAGGAAUUUCGGUUUAAAUAUUAUUAAGCAUACGUUUGGCUGACAAUCAUUAUCCAGUUCAUGAUUUGGUUUCUUACCCUUAAUCAAUGGUUUCUAAGUGAAUAUAUGUAGAAGGAAAUCCGAAGUGUAGACAGUAGUAUCGAUAACUCUCAAUAUUCUCUAUAUAAUAGAAUAAACAGCGUCAUAGUGAUCGUCGCCUACAAGCAAGGUACAAAUACCAAAACGAGUGACUCACAUAGACAUCUCCCAACAAGAUGUAGUAGUGACUGACACAUGGACACAAUUAACUCGUAGAAAAGGAUAAGACCAUUGCACAGCAGCUCUUAUUUUACAUACUACUUAUGCUAACCAAAGUCAAUUAGUUGGGAUGGGUGGGAGAUGGAGGUUUGUGCGGUGGCUUGUGGGGCGGAGUUGAUGGCUUCUUUCCAGGAGCUUCUGGCUUUUUCAUCGGAGCUGAAGGAGGCUCAAUCUUAUGAGGCGGCUUGUAUGAGUCUUCUUUACUCUCGACAGGAGGGUGGCCAGGGUUGUGAUCAUAAUGUGGUGGCUUCUCUCCCUUAGGUGGCUUGCCAACUGGGGUUGGUGGCUUGUGUUCAGGAAGUGGUUUCUCUCCCAUGGGAGGUUUAGCAAUUGGGGUUGGUGGCUUGUGUUCUGGGAGUGGCUUCUCUCCCUUGGGAGGUUUAGUAGGUGACUUGUGUUCUGGAGGUGGCUUCUCCACCGGAGGCUUGUGCUCCGGUGGUGGCUUCUUGGUUGGAGGGGGCUUGGGGUAAUCAGCAAGAGAUGGGGUGGUGAGAACCACCAGUCCAAGGAACAACACUAGCAAGUAUGUGGGAGACAUUUUUGAGUUUGGGCUGAUCAGAUGAUGCAAAACUAAAGCAUUACGUGACCUUUUAUAGCAUGUAGCUCCCAAUACCCACUAAGUAUUGUGGGGUCCAUUUGUGCCCUACGGGGUUGAAAACUUAGACAAUUGGGCAAGGACCCACCUGACUAUGGAGGACUAGUGAGGUGUGAUCAUAGCUUUAGGAUUUUUCUUCCUCUGCAGCCGUCGUGCCGUUGGCAUGAUUUUCUUAAUCUUAAAUAAAGGCAUAGUUAUAGAGUUGUUUAAUCUCUAAAUGGGAUUUUAUAUAUAUCUUCAGAUAGCCAUUAAUAUAUUUGAUGAAGAAAGAAAGACAAGUGCAUACAACAUGUAUACGACUAGCUUUCAUGGAGUUCAUUUAUGAUCAGUUUUCCUGUACAUGUAAACCAGGAUCAUAUAUAUGUUUCUGUUCCACAACUAUUUUGGAAUCUUGUUUAUCAGUUUUUAUCAUUAUAAUGUCACAUAGGCUGCCAACUUGGGCGCUAAAAGAACCAGUUGGGCUAGUUCGUUUCAGAAUUUCAAUGUGGAUUCAGGAAUUGUUUUGUAAGAUAUGCGAAAUAGUAGAGGGAUGAAUAGUGUUUCAUUAAUAAAAGUGUCCUGUAAAUUAGAAGGUGUCAUAGAAACUAUAAUCAAUAAAUAACUUUUUUUCCCCACGGGUGGUGUUUCUUGUGGGGAUCAGUGACUGGUUUAGGUUCACCCAAAAUGAGUUCAGACUAAAAUUGGUUUGAGUCAAUGCCGUGUCUCUUUUUUCCAGAAAUCAACUAUUUUAUGCAUUGAAUAAAUCAUACAAAGAAAAUAUGAACGCCCGCAAAACCUAAACCCUGGUUGCUAACUUUCUAUGUUUCAGUUCUAUUCACGCAAGAAUAUUAGUUUAAGUUUGGGAAAAAUGGCAACUUACCUAGUGAUUACUUGGUUUUGGUUUGCGACUAUUUACGCAACCAACCAUGAGUUUGACUUUAACGUCAUGGGUUGAAGCCUCCUACAGGAAGGGAGAAAGCUCCACAGCUAGCUCCAAAAGAGAAUUAUCACAUUGAUAGCUCCAGAGAUUCCCAAGGGGACUGAAUCAAAGACAAGUUCCUCACUUUUUCUUCUUUUGAGGCCAAAUAUGAACCAAGGAUCACACAACCUCAUUCAACUUCAUAAGUUUGAUUUCAUGCAGUUGAACACUGGGUGAAGGCCAUGACAAGAAUUGAUUCAAAAAUUCUAUCACUCUUUUAAGUAAUGGAAGAUUAUUAUCUCUGAUUGGCAUCACAACAGCACAUGCUCCUAGAUCUUUCUAGACACUCCAUGCAAUGAAAGCACAAUGGAUCUUGUAACGAUAGAAACUAAGCCAUGCUACAGUACUAGAUGAUGAGGUAAAACUAGUAGACACGGGUGGCAGCCUAUAUGGGAGGGACACAAGUCUAAUUGAUUUGCAUUUCAGCAUUAUAGAUAGGUAUGUUUUGGAAGAUUUGUUCUGGAAAUACCGCACCAAGUAGGAUUCUUUUUCUCUUUAGUGGGUCCACUUGCAUGCCAAUUAACGAGUUGAAAAGUAUGAGCACCUACCUCGUGCUCGUGGAACCGAAGGUCAGUGAAGUGGGGCUCCUUUUGGCCUCGUGUAAACUUGAUUCAGAAGUGAAGUUAAUAGUCUUCCAUUCAGAUGGAUACAUGGGAAUUUUUCUCUUUUAUUUAUUUAUUUAUUUUUUUUUUGUGUGUGUAUGUCAAAGGAUAAUGAAUGAAGCGCGUUAGCUUGUUUUCUGACUGGAACCGCAGAUGUCCAAAUUGGAGUUCCUUCAUUUCUUACUUAGGAUUGUUACAUGUAUAAACAAGGUAUAAGAAAUAUGCCAACGUGUCUUGAGGAGUUAUUGAUUAGAAAUAACAAGUCACCCGACUGUAGAGUUCCAAGAUUUGAAUCUUCAGACCCUAUAGCAGCCUCUGGGGUACGUGGCAUCCUAUAGCAUAUUAAUGAAGGCUUUUUCGAUUUAGACUUCACAAUACCAAUUAAUAUGUAUGCACAAAAUGGAGAUGACCCCAAAAAAAACAGAAUCGCCAUAGUUUAUGAGGUUAAGGUGAUUCUCCACUUAAUAUCUACAUUAGCUAAUUAUGUAAAUCAAAUGAACUUCUAUUUUUCCUUUUUUUUUUUGGUUUAUGUCAAAUAGUAGCCCAUAAUUAACCCAACCAUUAGCCUGUUUGAAUUGAUUUCACAUGCACAAUGUUGUAGUAGUUCAUAUUUUGAAUUUUAUUUUUACAAAGGUAGUUAAGGAAAAUGAAGUAUAAUAAUUAUAAAAGCAGACUAUAUACACUACAAUAAUUGUUAGAAUGGUAUCUCAAAUUCUAAUUUAAAAUAUUAUUUUUUGUAAAAGAAAUAUUAUAUAGAAUAUUUCCUAAUUUUAUAAAUGAUUAUAAUUAGAUCUUUAUAAAAUAAGGAAAGUUGGUAAGAAUAUCUUUAUAAAUAUUUUAGGUCAUGAGAGAAAGAAAUGGGAUAAAAAUGUGAUGAAGAGGUGAAAUAAGAGAGUUGAUUAGGAUAUAGAUGUGAAGAAGAAAGGGAUUCAAUAUAUAUAUAUCUUUCAAUUACCACAUUAAAACCCUGUGAACCUUUUAUAUGGUUUACUUUAUUUUUAUAUUCCUCCUUUAAUAUAUUUACAUUAAUGCUUCCAUUGGCACAACAAUAACGAAUUACAAAUACAAGCAACAAGUCCCAUGUUUUAUUACCAAAAGCAGGUAAAAUCCACCUAAUAUAUUACAAUAUAUUCAUCCAAUAUUUUAGACCAAUUCUUCACCAUAAAUAUCAUAAUGUGGCUUUUGUUCUUUCUUAAAUUUAAAUUGAAUUGUCUUAUAUCAAUUUGUUUGUGAUUUUUUCAUUAACUUCACUUUCAUUUGGUUAUCUUUGGUUUUUGAAAAGUAUUAAGGAAUUAAUUAACAAAAUAAUGUUAAGAAAAAUAAUUUUCUCUCUUUUGAUUUUGAUUUUGUAGUAGAAAAAUAUAAUUAAAAUUAUUUAAAAAGUAUGUAAUUUUAAAUUAUUUAAUAUUUAGAUAAAAAAAAUAAGUCUAAUGAGUUUAAAAUAACAUAUAAAAAUAAUUUAUUUAUUUUAAAUUUAUUUUUUAUUUUCCAUUAUGUUCUCUUUCUCUUUUACUUUUUCAUAUUUUUUCUUACGAAGAAUCAAACACAACCUCAUAUUAUAUGUCAAGUGUUUGUCUAUAUUUGAGCAAUGUUAGAUACGGCCAUGGAUUCAUCAAACUAAACUGAUUUUAAUAGAUACUUCACAAAUUGAUUUAUACACUAAAUCAUUGGAUAGCAAUGAUGCAUUGGAAUUAAACGUAGGAUGAAGCUCGAAGAACACUGUUUGUGUAACAACAUAUUUAUGAAAUUAUGCAAAGGAUGAGCUUCGGGGUAGUAGUACAAGGUCAUUAAUGGAGAGCCGUGUUAAACCUUGAUUGUGAUUGGAUUCCGUUAUCAGCAACAGCAACCUUGUUUGUAACCUUGAAAGUCAUUCUGUCCACAUCGAAACUCCAAUUUGACGUUUGUAAUUACCAUUCCUGGAGUGUUCCUUGAUUGAAAUUUAAAUAAUAAUUGCGGCCCACAAGGAAUAUUUUCGAUUCUGUGGGAAUUUGACAAGGUUUGUUAGAGAAGACUGGUGACAUGUUGACUUCAAUGGUUCAAAUAGGAGACGUAUGUGGAUUUGGGGGGUUUAAUUGAAACUGAGUCCCUAUGGCUUUUUAAUAUUUGCAUUGAGCAGUCUCCAUGUGACUUCCUAAUUCCCACCAACCCUCCUGUCCAUGCUGUGAAACUAAAUUGUAAUUUAUCAGCCUUUGUCAAUGGUUUCUAAAUUAAAGAUAUAGACCAUGCAUGUACUUUAAUAAAAGCAAAUCUAAAGUGUAGAUAGCAGCAAUGGUGACACCCAAUAUUCUCCAUAAAAUAGAAUUAGAAUAAGCAGUGUUACAUUGUUCAUGAUCACCUACAAGCAUACAAGAACUUCCAUGAAUAACUCAUAGCAAUUGCCAACAGGGCGUCGUAGAGACUCAUACAUAGAACACUAUCCACCCAGAGGAAAGGACAAGACCAGUGCGCUGCAGCUCUUAUUUUUCACAUGUAUACCACCACUCGUAAUAACCAAAUUCACUCAGUUGGGAUAGGUGGGAGAUGGUGGUUUGUGGGGUGGCUUGUGGGGAGGAGUUGGAGGAGGCUUUAUUUUCUGAGGCGGCUUGUAUGAGUGUGCAGGAGGAUGCCCGGGAGUGUGACCAUAAUGUGGUGGCUUCUCUCCCGUAGGUGGUUUGCCAAAUGGGCUUGGUGGCUUCUCUCCCUUAGGAGGUUUACCAAUUGGGGUUGGUGGCUUGUGUUCUGGGAGUGGUUUCUCUCCCUUGGUAGGUUUGCCAAUUGGGGUUGGCGGCUUAUGUUCUGGGAGUGGCUUCUCUCCCUUGGGAGGUUUGCUAAUUGGGGUUGGCGGCUUAUGUUCUGGGGGCGGCUUCUCUCCCUUGGGAGGUUUGCCAAUUGGAGUUGGCGGCUUAUGUUCUGGGAGUGGCUUUUCUCCCUUGGGAGGCUUGCCAAUUGGGGUUGGCGGCUUAUGUUCUGGGGGUGGCUUCUCUCCUUUAGGAGGUUUGCCAAUUGGAGUCGGCGGCUUAUGUUCUGGAAGUGGCUUUUUUCCCUUGGGAGGUUUGCCAAUUGGGGUUGGCGGCUUAUGUUCUGGGGGUGGCUUCUCUCCCUUGGGAGGUUUGCCAAUUGGAGUCGGCGGCUUAUGUUCUGGGAGUGGCUUCUCUCCCUUGGGAGGUUUUGUUGGUGGCUUGUGUUCUGGAGAUGGCUUCUCCCCUGGAGGCUUGUGCUCCGGAGGUGGCUUCUGAAAUGGCGGGGGCUUGGGGUAAUGAGCAAGAGAUGGAGUACUGGUGAGAACCACCAUUCCAAGCAACAAUACUAGCAAGCAUGUGGGAGAC